RNAcentral lists this unclassified non-coding RNA (706 nucleotides) under Homo sapiens (human). RNAcentral's name for it is "nucleosome assembly protein 1 like 4 (ENSG00000273562.4)". The record is from RNAcentral. Lineage: Eukaryota; Metazoa; Chordata; Mammalia; Primates; Hominidae.
GGGAGAAGACGAGGAUGAUGCGGAAAUUAACCCCAAGACUCCUCAGUAGAGCAACUUGACUUUCCAAGUGUUUCAUUCUUUUAAGGUGUAAUUUUUGUCUGUUAAUCAUUCAUACGUUUCUAGAAGGAACCCAGCCAGCCGGCGGAAUGCAAGCAGCAGUAGGAAGCGGAGGCGGGUGCCUGGCAGACCGGCUGUCGGGACUCCAGGCCUGUGGGCGGGGCCUCGGUCCUUGCCGCAGCACAAUCCCGUGGACAGAGCUUACUCCAUCUAACUCGUUUUCAAGUGCAUGAUUUUCACUUUCACUUUUCCUUUUUCCUUAUUAUUUUGCUUAACUUGUACAGUGGCAACUGAAAUGCAUUUCAGAAAUAGGAGGUUUCGUCCAGCACCCUCUGCAGCCUUGGUGCCUGUAGCUCUGGACUUCCCUGGGCCUUUCCCUGUGGGAGGGCCCUGUAGACCACAUCAGGGUGGGGUGGGGGUCACUUGGCAAAAAGGGCCGAGGUCUGGUGAUGUGGUUCCCAGGAUCUGGAACCUCUCCCACCCCUCCUGCAGUUGGACUGAAUUCUUCCCUUUCAUCCGAAGAAACCCACUUGCUGUUUCCAGCCGCUGAAUCUGCUGAGUGUGCAGCCUGCAUCACCUGCUGUAUGCCGAUCAUCUCAGAAAGGGCUGUGUAGAGUAGGGCCCUGUUCUCCUUAGGAUGUUGCUUCUU